UACGAAGGGGGCUAGCGUUGCUCGGAAUCACUGGGCGUAAAGGGUGCGUAGGCGGGUCUUUAAGUCAGGGGUGAAAUCCUGGAGCUCAACUCCAGAACUGCCUUUGAUACUGAGGAUCUUGAGUUCGGGAGAGGUGAGUGGAACUGCGAGUGUAGAGGUGAAAUUCGUAGAUAUUCGCAAGAACACCAGUGGCGAAGGCGGCUCACUGGACCGGAACUGACGCUGAGGCGCGAAAGCGUGGGGAGCAAACGGG
This 253-nucleotide ribosomal RNA is filed under the name uncultured bacterium. RNAcentral describes it as "partial 16S ribosomal RNA". It matches the Rfam family "Bacterial small subunit ribosomal RNA", at positions 524 to 776 of the family's 1533-position model. The record is from RNAcentral.